GAUGGACGCUGGCGGCGUGCCUAAUACAUGCAAGUCGAGCGAACGGACGAGAAGCUUGCUUCUCUGAUGUUAGCGGCGGACGGGUGAGUAACACGUGGAUAACCUACCCAUAAGACUGGGAUAACUUCGGGAAACCGGGGCUAAUACCGGAUAAUAUUUUGAACCGCAUGGUUCAAAAGUGAAAGACGGUCUUGCUGUCACUUAUGGAUGGAUCCGCGCUGCAUUAGCUAGUUGGUAAGGUAACGGCUUACCAAGGCAACGAUGCAUAGCCGACCUGAGAGGGUGAUCGGCCACACUGGAACUGAGACACGGUCCAGACUCCUACGGGAGGCAGCAGUAGGGAAUCUUCCGCAAUGGGCGAAAGCCUGACGGAGCAACGCCGCGUGAGUGAUGAAGGUCUUCGGAUCGUAAAACUCUGUUAUUAGGGAAGAACAUAUGUGUAAGUAACUGUGCACAUCUUGACGGUACCUAAUCAGAAAGCCACGGCUAACUACGUGCCAGCAGCCGCGGUAAUACGUAGGUGGCAAGCGUUAUCCGGAAUUAUUGGGCGUAAAGCGCGCGUAGGCGGUUUUUUAAGUCUGAUGUGAAAGCCCACGGCUCAACCGUGGAGGGUCAUUGGAAACUGGAAAACUUGAGUGCAGAAGAGGAAAGUGGAAUUCCAUGUGUAGCGGUGAAAUGCGCAGAGAUAUGGAGGAACACCAGUGGCGAAGGCGACUUUCUGGUCUGUAACUGACGCUGAUGUGCGAAAGCGUGGGGAUCAAACAGGAUUAGAUACCCUGGUAGUCCACGCCGUAAACGAUGAGUGCUAAGUGUUAGGGGGUUUCCGCCCCUUAGUGCUGCAGCUAACGCAUUAAGCACUCCGCCUGGGGAGUACGACCGCAAGGUUGAAACUCAAAGGAAUUGACGGGGACCCGCACAAGCGGUGGAGCAUGUGGUUUAAUUCGAAGCAACGCGAAGAACCUUACCAAAUCUUGACAUCCUUUGACAACUCUAGAGAUAGAGCCUUCCCCUUCGGGGGACAAAGUGACAGGUGGUGCAUGGUUGUCGUCAGCUCGUGUCGUGAGAUGUUGGGUUAAGUCCCGCAACGAGCGCAACCCUUAAGCUUAGUUGCCAUCAUUAAGUUGGGCACUCUAAGUUGACUGCCGGUGACAAACCGGAGGAAGGUGGGGAUGACGUCAAAUCAUCAUGCCCCUUAUGAUUUGGGCUACACACGUGCUACAAUGGACAAUACAAAGGGCAGCGAAACCGCGAGGUCAAGCAAAUCCCAUAAAGUUGUUCUCAGUUCGGAUUGUAGUCUGCAACUCGACUACAUGAAGCUGGAAUCGCUAGUAAUCGUAGAUCAGCAUGCUACGGUGAAUACGUUCCCGGGUCU
This 1372-nucleotide ribosomal RNA is filed under the name uncultured bacterium. RNAcentral describes it as "bacterial SSU rRNA". It matches the Rfam family "Bacterial small subunit ribosomal RNA", at positions 28 to 1381 of the family's 1533-position model. The record is from RNAcentral.